This 316-nucleotide ribosomal RNA is filed under the name uncultured eukaryote. RNAcentral's name for it is "partial 18S ribosomal RNA". It matches the Rfam family "Eukaryotic small subunit ribosomal RNA", at positions 1470 to 1796 of the family's 1831-position model. The record is from RNAcentral.
CCCUUAGAUGUCCUGGGCCGCACGCGUGCUGCACUGACGCUUGCAACGAGUACAUCCCAUCUCCGAAAGGUAGAUGGAAAUCAGAAAUAAGCGUCGUGAUGGGGAUAGAUCUUUGGAAUUAUGGAUCUUGAACGAGGAAUGCCUAGUAAGCGUAGGUCAUUAGCCUACGCUGAUUAAGUCCCUGCCCUUUGUACACACCGCCCGUCGCUCCUACCGAUUUCGAGUGGUCCGGUGAAUCUUUCGGACUGCGGAGGUCUUGAAUCAACGCGGAAAGUCAGAUAAAUCAUACUACUUAGAGGAAGGAGAAGUCGUAACA